Molecule: long non-coding RNA, 2789 nt
Filed under: Equus caballus (horse)
Lineage: Eukaryota; Metazoa; Chordata; Mammalia; Perissodactyla; Equidae
Description: lncRNA (ENSECAG00000052621.1)
Source: RNAcentral
CUUCAGGACCUUUAAAAACAUACUCUUGAUUGAGUUCUUCCUCCACACAUUUGGGUUUAAUUGGUUCAGGGUGAGCCCUGGCCAGGGCUUGGGGAGUUUUAAAAGUUACCCCGGGUGAAUCUAAAGUGCAGCCAACGUUGAAAACCACUUGUCCUAAUUGAAUCAUCCAGCGCCACGUAGGGAGUUAGUGGGUGAUGCAAUAAUGUUAUUGUUAAUCGCGUUGGGCUGAGUUAUCAGAACUGGGAAUUCUGGGAAGUGCUGACCUCGCCUUCUGCUGCUAAAAAAAGGACAGAGAAGCAUGAGCUCCCUCAGCCCAGGGUCCUUCAGGAAAGCCAAUUUAUUCAGAUGAAGGAAAGGCCAGACUAGUGGUUUUAUCUUGACGAAGGCUACCAUUUUGGGAAAACCAAUUCUUUAGAACAAAGUCUAUGAGUUCAAGAGCCUGUGGGUGCCGUUCUUCAAGUGAACUGCAUGUUCCAGGAACCAAGGUAACAGAGUCCUGCCGCCUCAAUGGAGGACUGAGACUCUGGAUCAAGGACUGUUGUUGUCUGCCUGUGUGACACUUAAGAUAUCCUGACUUCCAAGGACGCCCAGCUCUGUUUCUGUGACCCAGGGAAACUACGACUCAGCUUUGCUGGGUUCUCCAUCCCUGUACCAUGACCUGGAAACUUUCUCCGAGUAAUAAGAGCUCAGAAAGGAAACUGGAGAGUGAAGAGAAUACAUUCUGAUAUCCUACGUAUACGCCCCCACAAGGAGAACCAGUACCCAAGCAUAAUGGGAAGACUUUUUCUGACUCUUCCUGCCAUGGCCCAUGAAGUGUUCACUGUCUUCCAAAGGCAUUCAAACUCCUUUGAAAGCCAUUCUCAGGAUAGCAGUUCUUUGUUAAUCCUUGACUUGACUUCUGUGUUAACAGGGAGUGCAAGCACAAAUGAUCUGAAGGGCUGGGUUUAAAAAAAAAACCCGCAUCCCAAAGAUGUGUGGCAUGUGAUAUGCAGGUCAGUGUUAGGGACGAAAGGGGAGUGUUGGGUCUGUGGAGACCUAGAGAAGCUAUGACCUGUCUAAAGAAGAUCUCCUGAGCGCCUGCUGAUUGUGAUAUGUACUGCUACAUCUUCCGAUUUGUAAAAUAGUCUGGAAAUCUAGAUUUUCUUCCAUGAGAAAUUUCCUGAUGUUCAAAGUAAAAAAAAAAAAAAAAGAAGAAGAAGAAAGAAAGAAAAAUAAUGAAGAAUCCAACAGCAUAAAUCAGUGGACUGUACCAUAGGCUGCUAUUCAACAGACUUUUGGCAAAUCUUUAUGAAAGAGAGUCUGUAUUGGAAACAUCUCUGAUGUUGUAUAAAGAAGCUGAUCACUCUUUAUCAAUUGGGCAGAGUUGCGCGGGGGUCAAAAGGGUGAGAGGCGAAAGGAAUCAGAUUAUCUUCUAUUAUUUUAGGUUGAACAGUAUUAAAGUUCUGCUUUUUUAGUCAAAAAGAGUCAAACAUCUGCAGUUUCAAAAAGUUCAGCCCAGUAGAGUUGUCGAUAAACAUGGUGAUCCUGCACAAAGUCCUAUGAUGGAGUUAGACAACUACGAUAUUUAGAGGCUGAGGACCAGUAUUGGAGAGGGUAGGCUAAUUGCUGUUAUCAAUAGACUCUAAACUAUAAAAUGGUUCUAACACAGUUUUAUGCCUUCCUCACUUACACAGUCCAAAGCAAUUUUGAGUUUCCAGGGGGCUCUAUUCAACACGUUGUUCAGGGACAAGGCUGAAAGAGAAAUUCUAUCAUCUUCAUCGCUCAACUUUCAAGGUCACUUCAUGUGUCAGUAUCCAGCAGCAGCAAAAGAAAGAAUAUGAGAGGUUUCUAUGGGCCAGAUGUGAGAGAGGCCCACAUCAUUUUUGUUCACAUUCCACUGCAAGGGAAAUUGGAAAUUAUAUUCUCAUUGUGUGCCAAAAAAGAAGAGACAAUGGAUGUGUGAUAAGCUGGCAAUCUCUGACACAUAAAGGAAGUCUCAAAGUAACUUUGCUACUGGGUUCAAACUUAAGAGAUCAGGCACAUCAACCUUCAGGAGAUGUGUCUGGCUCUGAUGCCUCCGAAUUUAAGUAAAGAUUUGGGACUCAUGGAAUUUCAGAUUUGGAAGCAAUUUAUAAGCCAUUUGUAAAUCAACUUUGAUGGUGGUCAGUAAAAAGAACAUGGACUCUGCUUCUAACCAGCUUUGAGACCCUUGGCAAGUUUUAACUUGUCUCAGACUUAGAGUCCUUGUCUAUCAAAUGGAGAUAAAAAAUAUACAAUUUUUAGUGUUGUUCUAAGAAUUUGAGACAAUUUGUGUCAUGUACGUGCAUGACGCAUAGUCAUUAUGAAUCCAGCCAAAUGGUUAUCCAGGCUCUGUUAAGAUGUCUCCAUGGGCAGGGAACUCGAUGCUUCUAGAGUUGCCCUUUCUAUUUCUAUGCAGAUCUGACAACCAGGAAUGUUCUUCAUCUUGAGCAAAAUCUGUUUCCACCCUGAGUCCUACUUCUAUCCAUGAAAACUACACAGAACGAGGUGAAUCAUUCUUCCACAUGCCAGCUCUUCAGACAUUUGAAAACAGCACUCCUGCUUUGAGAUCUGUCUUCCAGUUUCUUCAGAAAAGAAGAGAGGUUAUCCAAUCUGAAAUUAUUCUCUGGAGUGCGGAAGUCCCCCUUCUUGAGCAAGGGCACAAGAAGAUUUUGGAAUUUUAAAAUUAAUCUAAAGUCUCCUCUCCAGGAUCUGCACCCUUCACUUCAUCUUUCCUGCGAGAAGCCUCUAAUGAGUAGCCCAUUUGCAAAGCAGAGAUGAUUGACAUCCGC